RNAcentral lists this microRNA precursor (205 nucleotides) under Oryza nivara. RNAcentral describes it as "MIR812 microRNA precursor family". It matches the Rfam family "MIR812 microRNA precursor family". The record is from Rfam by way of RNAcentral. Lineage: Eukaryota; Viridiplantae; Streptophyta; Magnoliopsida; Poales; Poaceae.
AAAGAGACAAACCCUGGUUUUCGUGUCCAACGUUUGACCGUCCGUCUUAUUUUAAAAAAUUAUAAAAAAAAUUAAAAAGAUAAGUCACGCAUAAAGUAUUAAUCAUGUUUUAUCAUCUAACAGCAAUGAAAAUACUAAUUAUAAAAAAAUUUCAUAUAAGACGGACAGUUAAACGUUGGCACGGAAACCCAGGGUUUGUCUUUUA